UGCUAACCACUGAGCCAAAUGCUUGCAUUUAUAAGGUGGCUGCUAUGAUUUCAGGACAUCCAAAAUGCUUUACCUGUCUUUAAUUGACGCUACGGUCUCCUUUCUCAGAAGCUACUGCCAGCACGCGCACAGUAAAACCAGUCAGUGCAGAAACUGAUUAGAUUUUAAACUUACCUUCGCAGACAUGUCCUCCAGGUCCAACUAUUGAUGUUUAGGCCUCUCCUGCCCUUAACAGCAAUCAUUUGUCAACCCACAGGGAACUAUUGAAUUAGGGCACAGGUCUACUUCGAGACACCACUAGAAGUUAUGACAAUGUAGGCAUCAGAGCAGAAGGGGACAGGCAUCCAGCAACAACUAAGCCUGCUGGAGGAUACAUUAUAUAGGAGCAUUAGGCCAGGAAAAAGGAAUCACAGAAGAGGCACUGUGGGCAUACAUAAGUUUCUUUUUGUUAUUGUAAAUAUUAUUGGAUAAAGUUGUGACCAAAUGUUUUUCUGGUGGGUUUUUUUCAGGAUUUUGGGGAAGAUUGUGCUGUGAUGGGCAACCAUGGAGGAAUGGAAAUGUCUCCACCUGCUGAGAAGGCCUCUGAAUCUCUGACGGCAAGAGCUGUAUCCUCAUAACAAGAUUGUGAAAGGCACAGCAGGCUACUUUGAACUUGGAUACCAACUCUGUGCAAUUUACCAGAUGGGACAAAACUGUAUGCAAUGUGCCCAGCACUUCCAAUGGCAACUGGUGAUGAGAACCCUGACUGUACUGUACUGCUGGUUAAAUACUUCAACAUACUGGGAGUCAAUCAACUAACUCAAGAUAAUGGGCCCUGUCUCCAACAAGCAGCUCCAACUCACCAGACCAAGUAUUCAUCACAUGCCAAACCCAUGAGAAAAGAACGUAGAAGAUUGGAGCACUGUAAUGAUAUCAGUAAAGUAACCUUGUGUAACACUGUGUGACUAUGUUUAAUGAGAUGAUUAUUGGCCCACAAAAUAUCAUGAACAAAAUUCAAUAAAGA
Molecule: non-coding RNA, 1003 nt
Organism: Chiloscyllium plagiosum (whitespotted bambooshark)
Lineage: Eukaryota; Metazoa; Chordata; Chondrichthyes; Orectolobiformes; Hemiscylliidae
Source: RefSeq, a predicted model, not a curated record